UACAGAGGGUGCAAGCGUUAAUCGGAAUUACUGGGCGUAAAGCGUGCGCAGACGGUUGCGUAAGUCGGAUGUGAAAGCCCCGGGCUCAACCUGGGAAUGGCAAUGGAUACUGGCAGGCUAGAGUGCGGUAGAGGGUAGUGGAAUUCCCGGUGUAGCGGUGAAAUGCGUAGAGAUCGGGAGGAACACCAGUGGCGAAGGCGGCUACCUGGACCAGCACUGACACUGAGGCACGAAAGCGUGGGGAGCAAACAGGG
This 254-nucleotide ribosomal RNA is filed under the name uncultured bacterium. RNAcentral's name for it is "partial 16S ribosomal RNA". It matches the Rfam family "Bacterial small subunit ribosomal RNA", at positions 524 to 777 of the family's 1533-position model. The record is from RNAcentral.